Molecule: ribosomal RNA, 689 nt
Filed under: Heterosphaeria linariae
Lineage: Eukaryota; Fungi; Ascomycota; Leotiomycetes; Helotiales; Heterosphaeriaceae
Description: partial large subunit ribosomal RNA
Rfam family: Eukaryotic large subunit ribosomal RNA
Source: RNAcentral
GGCGAGUGAAGCGGUAACAGCUCAAAUUUGAAAUCUGGCUCUUUCAGGGUCCGAGUUGUAAUUUGUAGAAGAUGCUUCGGGUGUGGCCCCGGUCUAAGUUCCUUGGAACAGGACGUCAUAGAGGGUGAGAAUCCCGUAUGUGACUGGGUGCCUUCGCUCAUGUGAAGCUCUUUCGACGAGUCGAGUUGUUUGGGAAUGCAGCUCAAAAUGGGUGGUAAAUUUCAUCUAAAGCUAAAUAUUGGCCAGAGACCGAUAGCGCACAAGUAGAGUGAUCGAAAGAUGAAAAGCACUUUGGAAAGAGAGUUAAACAGUACGUGAAAUUGUUGAAAGGGAAGCGCUUGCAACCAGACUUGCACGUUGUCGAUCAUCCGGGGCUCGCCCCGGUGCACUCGAUUUCGUUCAGGCCAGCAUCGGUUUCGGUGGUGGGAUAAAGGCCUUGGGAAUGUAGCUUCUUUCGGGGAGUGUUAUAGCCCUCGGUGCAAUGCCGCCUACCGGGACCGAGGACCGCGCUUCGGCUAGGAUGCUGGCGUAAUGGUUGUAAGCGACCCGUCUUGAAACACGGACCAAGGAGUCUAACAUCUAUGCGAGUGUUUGGGUGUCAAACCCAUACGCGUAAUGAAAGUGAACGGAGGUGAGAACCCUUAAGGGUGCAUCAUCGACCGAUCCUGAUGUCUUCGGAUGGAUUUGAG